Mauremys mutica (yellowpond turtle) is the source of this 723-nucleotide long non-coding RNA. RefSeq lists it as uncharacterized. The transcript is spliced from 4 exons. Lineage: Eukaryota; Metazoa; Chordata; Testudines; Geoemydidae. The record is from RefSeq and is a predicted model, not a curated record.
GACUGGACUAUGUGCCAAAAGAGACCUUUGCUUUGAAUUCACUUAGCCUGUUAAGUUAGUUCGAGGAGUUUGCUGCCUACAAUCAGAAGACAGCCAUUUUGACUGAAAACGUUCAGUGCAGCCUUGUACCUGAGAGGAACAUGUAUGCCAUAAUGAUCUUACGAGCCGGCUUAAGCCCGAUGAGUCAUUCUGGAAUAGUGAGUAUAAGUCAUCAGAACCAAUGACUCGCAGGUCUUAUGAUAGAUGCCAUGCCAUUCAACUAGGAUUCAGCCAAUCCACAGGUGUGAGAGGUGUGGGUGCCCUCACCAGGCCCAGUUCUCCCACCACUUACACUGAUGCAACACAAGAGUAAGUGCCCUGAGUCAGUGCUGUUCCAGUGUACGAGAGAGAAGUGGGCCAUUCAUUUUACUUUAACUCAGACAUACCCUUAAACAUGUUCAUACCAGAAUAUUUUCCCAGGUGUCCGGUCUCAUUGUGGGGAUCCUUAGAAGCCACAGUUACAAGCAGAGCACUAUUUGGUGGCACCCCCCAACUUACAACAAACUGCCUCUGCCACUGCUUACCCACAGGGGCCCAUGACGGCAGCAGAAAGCAAGUUAGGCAUUCUGUCCUGGACUUGGCCUGGCCUGAUUCCCAGAUCUGGCAAUAGCAUCCUAGCACCUCUCAGCAUGCUGCUGCCUAGGUGACAACCUCAGGUUUGGCAUUGACCACGUAUAAGCCAGA